UUUAAAGAGAGUUUGAUCCUGGCUCAGGACGAACGCUGGCGGCGUGCCUAAUACAUGCAAGUCGAACGAACGGAGGAAGAGCUUGCUCUUCCAAAGUUAGUGGCGGACGGGUGAGUAACACGUGGGCAACCUGCCUGUAAGUUGGGGAUAACUCCGGGAAACCGGGGCUAAUACCGAAUAAUAAGUGGUGGCGCAUGCCGCGGCUUUGAAAGAUGGUUUCGGCUAUCGCUUACAGAUGGGCCCGCGGUGCAUUAGCUAGUUGGUAGGGUAAUGGCCU
Molecule: ribosomal RNA, 277 nt
Filed under: Listeria welshimeri
Lineage: Bacteria; Bacillati; Bacillota; Bacilli; Caryophanales; Listeriaceae
Description: partial 16S ribosomal RNA
Rfam family: Bacterial small subunit ribosomal RNA
Source: RNAcentral